AAAACAACGAUGAUGGAAACAAGACAUUUCAUAGUCUACAGAGAGCCGGUGUAUGGUGCAAACCGGUGGCGAAGUGAUGAUCUUAGCAUUCCUGAGAAACUGCAUUGAAAUGAAGUAGGUGUAGUCGGAUGACCUCCGUUAUCAGUUAUGGUCUUUAUUGAUCAUUGAGACUGCUGAUGUCUAGCAGUGAAUUAGGGUGGUACCACGAACAACUCUCGUCCCUUAC
This 226-nucleotide non-coding RNA is filed under the name Paenibacillus sp. RNAcentral describes it as "T-box sequence". It matches the Rfam family "T-box leader". From Rfam's summary of the family: Uncharged tRNA acts as the effector for transcription antitermination of genes in the T-box leader family. T-boxes are found upstream of many aminoacyl-tRNA synthetase genes and some amino acid biosynthetic genes usually in Gram-positive bacteria. Lineage: Bacteria; Bacillati; Bacillota; Bacilli; Caryophanales; Paenibacillaceae. The record is from RNAcentral.